RNAcentral lists this long non-coding RNA (20724 nucleotides) under Malus domestica (apple). RNAcentral's name for it is "long non-coding RNA (MDOM_LNC020346)". The record is from RNAcentral. Lineage: Eukaryota; Viridiplantae; Streptophyta; Magnoliopsida; Rosales; Rosaceae.
AAAUUGAAGAUUUGAAGAUGAUGUUUCCUACUUGAACAAGGUUUCCUAGUCGAAGUAGGAAAGCGCCUAAGUGAAGAUGGAAUCCUAGUUGAAUUAGGAUUCCUAGUCAAAAUGGGUUUCCUAGUUGAAUUAGGAUUCCUUGAAGAUGAAGAUUCCUACUCAACAAGGUUUCCUACUUGAAGUAGGAAAGUUUAAAUCCAAAUGCAUCAAGUUUCAGCAACAAAGAAGUUUUCCAAGUCCAAGAAGGAAAAGGAAUCCAAGAUGAAGAAGGAGAAAGAAUUCCAAGUCAAGGAGGAUUGAGACAUGUUUCCUAAUGCUAGAAGGACUCCUAAGUGUUGUAGGACACAAAUGAGAAGUUUCUAGAGUUUCCAUCCUUUGCCGUGGGUUUCAUUGCAUUCCUAUCAGUUUUGGGGCUUUCUAGACCCCUAUCCUAAUCCCUACAUUGGUGCCGCACCCUAGCUUCUAGAAAUCUGAUUUCCUUGCCUUGCAAGGCUUCUAGAAGCCUUAUCCACCUUAUCCUAUCCCUGCCGCACCUAGGACCCCUUUUCCCUUGCAAAAUCUGAUUGUUUAGACCUAUUUCCUUGUGGAUUUGGGUUAUCCAAGUCCAUAUCUGAUUACCCUAGGGUUUUAAGUGCCUAUAUAUACUCCUAUUAACCCCUAAAUCAGAUCAUCACUCACCACAAUUCACAAUUCACUCCAGAAAUUCGUCCAAACUCUCUCCACACCUUUGCCGCACCAUUCCCUUCCCCUAAACACUACUACAUCCCUCCAUAACCAUGCAUCCAUACACCUAAGGUCCUAAACCUGUCCCUAGACCCUUGCCGCACCAAGGAGGAGGAGAAGGAAGCUCGGAAGUUCAUGCAAUUCAAUUCGCGUCGCUGGAAUUUCUAGGUGUUUCUUUUCCUUUGAUUUCAAUGUUUAAAUUCAAUUCUCUUUGUUUUGUGCGUAUGAGGAACUAAACCCCCUUGGCUAGGGGGGGAUUCGAAAUACAUGUUUAUGCUUGCGUUAUGAUUUAUUACUUCUAAUUGCGUUUCAUAAGUUGUGAAUUCAAUUUACUUAUCUAUGUGAAUUACAUUGAUUUGUGUGUGUUGGUUGAGAGUGCACGCUUAAUUAUCAUGCAUGAAAUUGAAUGCUAGAUAUAAGGAAAUUUCACCUAAUCGUUAUGGAAUUAUAUUCACAAGUAGUAAAGGUUGAUGAUCUCAAUCGCGUUUAAGUAAAUUCUUGGCAUAAGUUUCAUGCAAUCAUAGUAACAAGUGCUUCGUCAAUGCUUAUGGUUUUCAUAGAACUUAAUGAUUCUUGCUUGUAUCUCUAUUAUGCAAUCAUGUAGGGACUUGUGGGGAAUGUUUUGGGUGUCGUAUGCAAUCAUCCAAUUCAAUAACGUUAGGAAAAUCUGAGGGUUAAUUUAAGCGACCUAAUUAACUUGGGGCAUUGAGAAUUCAUGGUUUAUUGAAAAGCAAUUGGAGAAUCGUUUUGUAUGCAAGUAUAACAUGUGUGGAGAUGAACCCCUUAGCUAGCCUUCCAUUCACCCAUUUAAAUCAAAUUCGUUUUUUACAAUCUGUUCUAAUUUACAAAGUUUGUUUUGUUUUUAAAUUCGUCCAAAACCAAUCCCCCUUUGUUUUAAGUGUCAAAUUAGUUAGUAAGUGUUUUACUUGUGUUUUUUAAGUGUUUUGAUUCAAGUUAAAACCAAAUUCGUCCAAUUUGGUGCUUAGUGUCCAAAACUGCCCAGAUUGUGUUUUUAAGGCAGUUUUGAGUGUUUUGGUGCUGUUUUGAGUCUUUUGGUUUGUUUUGGUGUUUUAAAGUUUAGUUUGCAUUCUUUGAGUCUAUUUAGUGUUUUUAAACUUGUUUUUACGUUUUUGAGUCAAUUCCAAGUGAUUUUGCAAUCCCUCCUAAUCCCCGGUCUAGAACGAUCCCUACUUACAUAUAUUGCUACAAUUGAUAAAAGAGGGUUUAUUUGAAGUGCUAAUUCAAUCAGUUGUGUUUUCUAAGUUAGUCUUUUUAAGCUAUUUUCAUGUGUUUUCAGGUUUUAGAGCAAAGUGAAGCAAAAGGAUGCAAUUUGGAGCAUUUUGGAGCAAAAAUUGGCUAGAAUGAAGUUCAUGCACAUGAAGCACAAAGGAUGGACGAAUUUGAGGAUUGAUGAAGCUAGAAUGUUUUCAAAUUGAAGAAUUGAAAUACAAAGUUUCCUAGUUGAAGUAGGAAAGGGCUUAAGUUGAAGGAGUCCUAAUUGAUUGAAGAUGAAUUGUAGGAUCCUAAUGAAGAUUUCCUAGAAAAUGAAGUUCCUACUCAGCAAGGUUUCCUAGGAAGAAGAAGAGUUAAAGCCAAAGAAUCAGCCUCAAGAUAAGGAUCUUAUCCAAAACCUCAUCCAUAACCUUAUCUUAGCUUAUCUUAUCCAUACAAACUUAUCCUAAUCCUAUCUUAUCCUUAUCUUAAACUAUCCACAUUCCAGCCACUUAGGAGGGUUUCUAACUAGAUUAGGAUGCCUUAAAAUCAGAUUCUAGAAGACCUAUCUUAUCCUACAAGAAUGGCGCCUAGGAACCUUUCUAGAAGCCUAAAAAUCUGCCUUGUAUUUCUUUCUAGAACCCUAGCUUUGUGUCCGCACCUAUACCUAUUUCCCUUGGGAUUUUGGUUUCUAGAAGCCUUAUCCUUUCACACUCUUUGUGCCCACAUUAUCUCCCAUCCUUUGGGUUUUUGACUUGUUUCCUUAUAGGGAUUGUAUGUUAUUAUCCUAUGCAGUUUAGGCCUUUAAAACCUUGUCCUUGCUACCUAGGAGUGGGAAUUUUCAGCCUAUAAAUACAAGCCCUUGCCGCACCCUUUCAUUCACCAUCCUCUACCAUAUUUUCACUACAUUUCACCCAAAACCCCUCAUUGUGCCGUGAGUUUUGCAAGGAGAGAAGGAAGAAACUCUGGAGCCGUGCAUGCCAUUCAAGGAGCUUGGAUUGUUGGAGCGUUCUAGGUGUUUUUCUAUCUUUAUGUCAAUGUUUAAAUUUAUUUAUCUUUGUUUAUUUGCGAACAUGAGGAACUAAUUUCUUUAUAGUUAGAGGGGAAUUCAAAGCCAUGAUCAUAUGUUUUAUAUGACUUGAUUACCUCCAGUUAUGAUUUCAUGAAUCGUGAAUGUGGUUUACUUAUCUAUUUGAUUGAUAACAUGUUUAUGUAUGUUAUUAAGGAUGCAUACUUAGUUCGCAUGCAUGAUUUGAUGCUAGAGUAUAAGGGAAUUUCACCUAAUCGUUUUAACUUAUAUUCAUAAGUAGUAAAAGUCGCUAGUCACGAUUGUGUUAAGUAAAUCUGGCAAGAGUAACAUGCGUAUUCCCAUAGUUAAUGAAUGCCUCGUCAAUGCUUAUGAUUUCCAUUGAACUUAAUGAUCUUUGAUAUGUGUCUCUAUCAUGCGUAUUCCAUAGUUAGGGUCCUUUGAUAAGAAUAAUUUGGUUGUAAUGCGUAUUCCAUUCAAUUCAAUGAAUCUAGGGAAAUCUUAGAAUUAAUUGGUGCAAUCUAGUUAAUUUGGGACAUGUCAUUCAUGGUUGUUGAAAGAGUAAUUGGAAAUCGAGUCGUAUGCAUAUGUUUCAUGUGUGGAGAAGAACCCUAAUAGCCUUUCCCCAUUCUAUUUCAUCAAAAUCGUUUUCAUUAAAGUUUGUUUUUAAAGUUUAUGUUUUAAAGUCCAAUUUCGUCAAAAACCAAUCCCCUUACUUUUAAAUCUUGUUUUUAGAGUCAAAACGUGUUUUCUUUAAGUCUUUUGAGUCUUUGAAGUUCUAUUUUCGUCCAAAUCACUUGCUAUGUCUAGAAUUGUGUCUUUUUUAUUGUUUCUUGUUGUUUUUAGUGUUUUAAGUUAGUUUUGAGUCUAUUGAAUCUAGUUUAGUGUGUUUGAGUCUUAUUUGUGUCGAUUAGCACCCCUAGUUAAUUCCCGGUCUAGAACGAUCCCUACUUGCAUCAUUACUACAAUUGUCAUCAAUAGGGUUUAAUUUGUGUGUCAACAUAAUUUUCACAUCAGGUACCCUUUGUAUCAUCAUCUUCAGGAACAAUCUCAAACACAUCUAGUGGGUCACCACGGUCGACAUGAUCUAUUUCUGUUUCCUUAUCUCGAAUUUGAAGCUUAUGUUGUAUAGCAAUAAACUAAUUUCUCCAACCUACUAUGAGCCAACCUUAUUUCUUUGCUUGUGUGUAUAGUGCAAAUGUGCUCCAAUUUCUUUCACAAGCAGAUGAGGAAGCUAUUUGUGAUAAUACUUUGAUUGCUAACUUUCUCAUAAUUGGUGCAUCGGUCCUAUACAUGAUCCACCAUUCAGCUACAAUGAAAAACAAUGUUAUAAACUUAUCGUGAAAUAUGUUUACACUCACUAGGAGACAUUUUUGUAUCGAGCAGCAACUGAUGUUGGUUCUCCAAAAGUUCUUCUUGCAUCUUUAAACCAUGGCUGAAUUCAAUAAAUCGUUAGUUUAAUCCAACAAAGUAAUUAUUAAUAAUUUUAAUAAUUGUGUACUCAUUUCCAUUGGCCAACUGCUGGUAUGCAGGGUUUAAUUUAGAGUAUACAUUAUGUACAACACGUAUAAGGGUACCAUCGUAUCCAACUGGGUCUUAUUGGUAUCGAGGAUUCAAAUAAUAUCUGUCAAAGAAACCAUACUCUAAUAGAGAAAUAAUACUUAUGCAACUAAAGAAAUGAAUUGCAAAUUAUGACAUAAUUUAUACCUGCUGCAUGCAAAUCGUGGUUAUAUGUUUUAUACAUCUGUCUUCAAUUAUCUUAUGACCCACCUUGCAUCAUUUUCUUUCCAUUCAUCCUUCACUACACGCAUCAUUCAAUACCCCUAUUUAGAUACACUUCUGUGUCAACGAUCCGUAAAACUUUGUAAAGAGUUCAAACACUUGUCACACAUGUUCUGAUUGAGUCCAAAAGGCACGAUCAAGCACUAUACUUUUCCACCAAUACGACCGCAUUUCAGCGGCUCAAAUUGUGGUUGGCCCAAUCGUCACUAGUGAAUAGUUGCUUCAACCUUGCUUUCUUCUUAAAUAGGCUGUCUAAUGGUGGUAGCUGGACGAAUAAUUUCUCCUUUGCAAAAUUCACGCAUCUUUGCCAACAACCAACUGUGAUUGUAAAUAUUUGUGAUCUGCUCUUUUUACCACAGUAGCAACAUUCUCUCUCUUCCCAAUUGCUCAAACAUGAGAUCAAUACAAUGUGCCUGCACAUGAUGUCCAAAACACAUUAUGAUGCUUCAUUAACUUUUUUUCCAACUUUGACAAAUGCAGACCGUUGUCGUCACGACUUGGACAACAUUAUGCUCUCCAACCUCCAUAUUACAUCCCUCAUAAUUUUGUAAAUAUACUUGUAGUUCUUUAUAUAGUCUGAAGCAUUAACAGACUUAAAAAAAAUUGUCUUUCCCUUGAGUAUACAUGAAGUUAUGAUAGACAAUCUAGUCCAGGCCAGUCUCAUCCGUCAACAUGAUUGUGGCAACCAUUAGUUUCCCACUUGACCUCAACUUGUUAACAUACCGACAAUGUCUUUAUACUCCAUAUCCAAUAUUUUUUUUCUUAUCUCAUAGGGAGCGGAGGUGUACUCCAACACGGCCUAUUGACAUCCCCACUACAUAUUUUUGAAAUGAUGUGAUGCCUUUCUCAGCAGGGACAUUUUCAUAGAUAAAGAACUUGCUAAUUAGACGCCUCAUUCCCUCCUCACAUUACCUCCAGUAAAUAACUCCAAACACUCUUUUGACGUGCUUUGGAUGACUUAUAUAAACUUGGGGCUAUUGGUGGUGUUGGUUGUGAUUCUCUAAGACUGCCUCCCGUCUCAUUUUGCACCACCACUUGUCCUGGAACCUUGUGCUCUAUUAGGAUUUUGAAGGUGUUCUCUUUCCCAUGCUGACUAUUUGGAGGCACGUAAUGCUUGUUUCAAACUGCGUCGUUCUUCAGGUCCCAUGUCAUCAUCACUGUCAACCGCUUGGCCAAUGACUUCUCCUCGUAGCCCAGCUCGAAUAUUUUCCAUUCCAUGUGUUAUCUUUCCUUCUGCUGUUUUUUAUUUUUAAUAAUGUGCUGAUGAAUGCCUUCACUUAUGGGGGGACAUUAUCGCAUUGUUAGACAUUUUUUGCUGGAUCUAAUCCACUAAGAUGGUACUUAAGUCGUGUCACUCUGCCACUCUUCAUUACCCAACCACAAUAUUUGCAAAUCGUGCCAUGUUUGUUUCCGUCUAUUGGGUCUCCAUGUUCCCAAGCUGGAUCACAUUUAAUAACUCCACUGGACAGCUUAAAACUACUAUAUUUAUUUUCAUGAAAAUUAGACAAUUAUUUUUUGGCCAAAAAAUAUAGUAGUGAUGACGGUUAUAUAAGAGAACAUAAAUAAUAAAGUUAUUCUACAGAAGAAUUAAAUACGUAGUAAAGAAAAUGAUUGUAAAAAUUUAAGUAAUUAUAAAAAUAAUAUGAAAUAAUAAAACCUAAUAUUAAUGAAUAAUAAUCCAAUUUGAUAAAAAAAAAAUCCUAAUAUAAAACAUAGUGAUGAAUAAUAAUCCAAUUUGAUAAAAAAAUAAUCCUAAUAUAAAACAUAGUGAUGAAUAAUAAUCCAAUUUGAUAAUAAUCCAAUUUAAUAAUCCCAUUUAAUAAUAAUCCAAUGUAAUGAAUAAUCCAAUUUGAUAAUAAUCCAAUUUAAUGAAUAAUAAUCCAAUUUGAUAAUAAAAAAAACCUAAUUCAAAAUUUGAUGCGAAAAUUAACUUAACACACAAAUUAACCCUCUUGUUGACAAUUGUAGUAUGGAUAAGUAGGGAUCGUUCUUAAACCGGGGAUUAGGAGGGAUUGCUAAAACACUCUAAACUGACUCAAAAACAUAAAAACAAAGUUAAAAACAUUUGAAUAGACUCAAAGAACUCAAAACAAACUCAAAAGACUCAAAACAAGCUAAAAACGCUCAAAUCUGCCUAAAAACACAAACUGGGCAGAUUUGGACUCUAAACACACUUUUGGACGAAUUUUGGUUUUAUGUUGAUUCAAAACACUUUAAAAACACAAACUGAACAAAUUCUGAGUAAUUAGACACUCUAAAGUAAAGGGGGAUUUGUUUUUGGACAAAAAUAAAGUAAAACAAAGCAAGAAUUAAAACUAAACAGAUUUGCACGAAAUUGGUUGAAUUAGAUGGAUGAUGGGCUAGUUAGAGGGUUCUUCUCCACACAUGACACACUUGCAUUGAAAUUGAUUUCCAAUUGCUUCUCUCAAUAAGUCAUGAAACUCAAUACUCCAGGUUAACUGUGAUAGCACUUUUUUAACCUUCAAGUUCUCCUUAAGUUAAUGAAUUGGAUGGGAAAGCACAUACAACAAUUCAAAGCAUUCUCUAAAAGUCCCCUACGUGAAAACCACAAUAAAGGUACAAUCAAAGAUCAUUAAGCUUCAUGAAAACCAUAAGUAUUGACGAGGCAUUCGUAACUAUGAUGAGCAUGAUACUCUUGCCAAGAAUUCACUUAACGCGAUCGUUUAUAAGCGACCUCCACUACUUGCAAAUAUAAGUUUGUAACUAUUAGGUGAAACUCCCUUAUAUUUUAGCUUCAAAUCCUUGCAUGAAAACUAAGUGUGCACUCUUAAUAAACAUACAAGAAUAAGUUAUCAAUCAAACGGUUAAGCAAAUUGAAUUCACAACUUAUGAAAUAACAAUUGAAGGUAAUCAAUUCAUAAUACAAGUAUAAUCAUGGUUUUGAAUAGCCCCCUAGCCAAGAAGGGCUUAGUUCCUCAUAAACGCAAAACAAAGAUACAUAAAUUUUAGACGUUGAAAACGAAGAAUGAAAACACCUAAAAACGCUCCAGCAAUCCAACUUGAAUGGCAAGCACGUCCAAGGGUCUCAUUCCUUCUUCUUUGCUACGGCACAAGGGAUGGGUGAAGGUUUUUGUGCUGAUUUGUGGUGGUGGAUGGAUAUAGGUUGGUUAUGGUGAAGGGUGGAGUGCUUAGAAUGGUCAGAAAGGGGUUUUAUUUAUAUGGGAAGGAAGGGCUAUGAAUUUAUUAAAUUUGGAAGCAUAAAUCAAUCGAAAAUAGGCAAGUAAGGUGCAGGAAUUAAAGAGAAUAGGAAAGGAAAUUCGGAAGAGAGUGUAGGACAGAUUUAGGAAUGUGUUUUGCGGCACAAAAUAGGUAAGAAUCCUCUCCCCGUGUACAGCAAGAAUUGAAACAAAAGGGAAUGCAAUUUUGGGUCAAAAAAUAGGUAAGAAAGGAGAGAAAGGUACGGCAAUGCCUAGAACUAAAGGGGAAUGUGAAUUAAAAUCAGAAAAUAGGAAAUGAGAGGAUCCCUUGUGCGGGAAGGAAAGGAGAAUGCCUAGGGUGGUGCGGCUGAUAGGAGCAUAUUUAUGCGCCUUAGUUAGCUAGUUCUUAUGCAUCUUUGUUAUGUUUUCUUCGUUAAAGUAGUCUUUUAAGCUACUUUCAUGUGUUUUCAGGUUUAAAGGACAUAUUACAUGAAAUGAUGCAAUUUGGAGCUUUUGGAGCAAAAAGUGAGCUUGGAAUGAAAAGGACAUGCUUGGAACACAAGGUUGGGUUGAAAUUGAAGAGUUCGAGAUUUGAGGUUUCCUACUUGAAGUAGGAAAGCUAAGCCUAAAAGUUUCCAUUUUGGGUUGAUCUUUCCUAAAUCGGAAUUGGCAACCAAAGUUUCUAAAGUUGGAAGUUUCUAUUCUUGGAGGUUUCCAAUUUCGAGAGUUUCUAUUCUCGGCUUUGGGCUUUUGGAUGACCCAUCUUUGCCUCUUGGACCUAUGCCGCACCUAACCCUAACCCUAGCCCACUUAAUCAGCCGCACCUAGCCUUGUUCACAUGAAAAAAAUCUGAUACUUACCCUAAGCCAUGCCGCACCUAAUGUUCUAGAAACCCUAGUUUUUGGUGGAUUUCCUAACCCUAGCCGCACCUAAACCCUAGCCCAUUUGUCUAAUCUGAUUUCUUUAGGGUUUGGGCUGCCUAUAUAUAUAUGUUUUACCUCCCUUGGCCGAAUGAGAACCCUCUCCAUAAUCCAGAAAUUAAUCCUUCACGCCAGAAACCAUUCCCCAUCUUCAACAACACCUAUCCUUCAUCAUUCACCAUAUUUUCUGACCCAAAACCACCCUAGCCGUCCCAUACACCUAUCCUACACACUUUUCCACCAUUCUACACCAUCCAUAACCCCCAAAAACCAUCACAAACCCCUGUGCCGCAACCAAGGGAGAGGAGGAAGGUUCUUAGAUGUUCCUGCUGUGCAAUUUAGAUUGCUGGAAUUUUUAGGUGUGAUCUUUCUUAUGUUUCAAUGUUUCAAUUCAAUAAACUUUGUGUUGUGAGUAUGAGGAACUAAACCCCCUUAGUUGGGGGGUAAUUCGAAACCAUGUACAUGCUUGCAAUAUGAUUUGAUUACAUUCAGUUGUUAUUUCAUAAGUUAUGGAUUCAAUUCGUUCAUCUAUUUGAUUGAUAACUUAUUUGUGUAUGUUGAUUGAGAGUGCACGCUUAGUUUUCAUGCAUGAAUAUGAUGCUAGAUUAUGAGGGAGUUUCACCUAAUAGUUACAACCUUAUAAUCACAAGUAGUGAAGAUCGCUUGAAAACGAUCGCGUUGAAUGAAUUCUUAGCAUAAGUUUCAUGCAAUUCAUAGUAACGAAUGCUUCGUCAAUGCUUAUGUUUUUCAUAGAACGUAAUGAUUCUUGCUUGUAUCUCUAUUAUGCAAUUCAUGUAGGGAACUCGUAGGGAAUGUUUUAGGUUGUCGUAUGCAAUCAUCCAACUUAAUAACUUGUGGAAAAACUGAGAGUUAAUUAGUGCAAUUCACGAUUAAUUUGGGGCGUUGAGUAUUCAUAAUUUAUUGGAAGAACAACUGAAAAUCGUUUUGUUGCAAGUGUGUCAUGUGUGGAGAAGAACCUCCUAACUAGCCUUCUACCCAUCUCUUUCACUAAAAUCGUUUUUACAAUCUGCCCUAUUAAUUUUCGUCAAAACAAAAUUCCCCUUUAAUUUGAAGUCUUAGAUUAGUUAGAAAGUGUUUUGAUUUGUGUUUCUAAGUAUUUUGAUUCAAGUUUUUCAUCAAAUUUCGUCCAAAUUAGUGUAGGUGCUCAAAACUGCCCAGAAAGUGGUUUUUAGGCAGUUUUGAGCCUUCUAGUUGCUGUUUUGAGUUUUAGGUUUGUUUAAGUGUUUUAACCUUUACUUUUGCAUUCUUUGAGUCUAGUUUAGUGUUUUAAACUUUGUUUUUGAGUUUUUAAGUCAGUUUCAAGUGUUUAGCAAUCCCUCCUAAUCCCCGUUUAGAACGAUCCCUAUUACAUCUUUGCUACAAUUUGACAAAAAGAGGGUUUAAUUUGUGUGCUUAUCUAUUUCGCAUCAGCGGCAUGGACUUUUGGGCAUGUCUAAGGCUUCUAGAACAUGUAAUUAAGUACCUAAGUGUUUUGGAAACUCCUUUGUAGUGGAACUUAGGGACUUUUAGGAUUAGGAAAGGUCAAACCAAAAUAGGAAACCUUGGCUUAACUUUCCUACUUCAAGUAGGAAUCCUUGUUUGAGUAGGAAUCCUUCUUCAAUUAGGAAUCCUUCUUCAAUUAGGAAUCCUUCUUUAAUUAGGAAUCCUAACAUCUUCAAGUCUUCAAUUUCGUCCAUUCCUUUUCCUCCAAGCAUAUGCUAUCCAUUCCAUGCCAAAAAAUGCUCCAAAAUGCUCCAAAAUGCACUUCUUUGCCACAUUACCCUUUGGAGUACAAACAACGACGAAAAUAGCUUAAAAUACUAAAAUAACUACGUACUAACAACAUAAAUGCCAAGAAACAAGCUAACCAAGUCGCAUAAAUAUGCUCCUAUCACUAAUAUUAAUGAAUAAUAAUCCAAUUUCAUAAUAAAACCUAAUAUUAAUAAAAUAAUAAAUAACAUUAAACAUAUUAAAAUUAUCCUAGGGAAUAAUUAUACAACACUACUUAAUUACUUAUAAAAAUUAACAUGUAAUUGUUAACAUUACUUAAUUUCUUACAAAAAUUAACAUGCAAGUAUUAAUUACUUAAAAAAAUUAACAUACGAGUCCACACAAAUUUUUUUGUUGUUGUAUAAAUUACAAUAAUAUAAAUAUAAGUUUGUAAACUUACUUUAAAUAUGGAACCCUUUGUGUUCAAGCUCUGGAAUGGAUCUGGAAUGGCUUUGAAAAGGGUAAGGGAAGAAGAAGAAACGAAAAUGCUCUUAUACUCCACCUCUGAGAAUGUGAAAGAAUAUCACAGACAAUGGCACACGGUUUUGAAUGUGAAAGAAUAUCAUAGACUCACAGUGGCACACGAUUUCAUUAUGAAAAGCACUAUUAUUUUUGUCCAUGGUCUAAAAUUGUAAAAAGUGAUUGUAAAAGUUGUCAAGUGAGUGUGAGUCAGAUGUCCCAACCACAUACACACACCGACACGCCACCACACACGCACACAACACAACACAACACAAUACACGCACACAGUCUCUCUCUCUCGAUCCUUCUCUCUUCUCUGAUCUCCCUUCUCCCUCUUCUCCAUUCUCCCACACACACACAAAGAUCUCCCAUACACAUGCACAGAGACCCAAAGUCUCUCGAUCCUUCUCCCACACACAUGCACAGAGACCCAAGGUCUCUCGAUCAUUCUCCCACAUCGCCUUCUGCUCCUCCCCCGUCGGUGCCGUCUCUCUCAUUUCUCUCUGCACCGAGGGUCCGAAACCCACAUACACACACGCACACCAUCGCACCUGCUUCAGGAAGACACCCAUCAUCAUCAGCAACCUCGUCUUUCUCCCUCUCCUUCUCGCAUCAGCAACUUGGCGAACACAGGAACUUCAGUGAGUUUCUUGAAUUUCUCCGGUUAGGUAAGCUUCGGGUUUGCCUCUUUCUGUUCUAGAUUGAAGAUUAUAUGUGAAAUUUAAGUUCAAAAUCGUGUUUUUGCAAGGUUUUUGGGACGAAAUCGGCUCGGGAAUAGGCACACCCAUCUCCGGCGAGGCCGUGGGUGUCGACGAACUUUCCGAACACCUCCGAAAGUUUCACAGCAAACGGAAUUUAUAAAAACAUUCAUCUCCUCUUUUAUUUCAUUUUGAUACCUAGAUCGGAGUCUAGGGUGCUCUUUUACAGUCGGCCAAAGCAGUAGAAGCUCCGGCUUUCUUCUCAGAUUAGCACAGUUCCAAAAUAUCGCGAUAGUUUCGGAAUCGAUAAUAUCACGAUAUUUUGACGAAAACCCGUUGGAUACCUAUUAAAAUAUCGUUAACGUGAAAAACCGAUAAUAUCGGCGAAAUAUCGCCGAUAUUAUCGACAUUUAAGACCUUGCUUUCAACACAAUGAUGAGGAUUUGGUUUUUAAUUACAUGACUGUUAAAGAGAGUUAUAAACAUGGAUGAAAAUUUGAUUUACUCUUUGGUGUAUGCUUGGUUGUGGUUUAAAUUUAUAAUCAUAAAGAAAAAUCAGUUUUGUAACACGCUUGAAGGAAGGAACUCAAAUUAACGCUACAACCUUGUGAGACUUGAGCCUCAAACGUUUAUUUGGAGAGUUAAUAAUCUGUGCAUUCUUGUUUUCUAAAGUCGUUGCAUGAUCUAAUUAUUCUUUGCUUGGUUAGUACUUAGAAGGCGUUUCAUCAUUUAGUUCCAAAUGCUAGAACUCAUGCCUAUUUAAUUCAAAGCAUGCUAUUGAUUUUUAUAACACAUAUUCAAGAUGAAGUUGUGUAGUGACCACCACCAAAGCCAAACUGCCGUGUAUCCUACUUCAUUAUAUGUUUAAGUUUAACCCCGUUGAGCCUUGUGUAGCCUAUGUUCUUUGUUAACCCACACUGUCCUCACCUAGCCUAGACUAGAACCAUCCAUACCUUUGUUCUUGAAGCAUAGUAAAGCAUGACUCAAAAUGAAUUCCUUUUUAUUAAUGUAUUGCAGAAAACAAGUGUGGGGGAAGUGAUUCUUGUUGUGUGUGUGUGCCAAAGUCCUUAAUAAGGCAUGGAUAGGAAAGAAAAAGAAAAGAAAAAUUCGUGGAAAAUAGAAUGAAAAGAAGAAAAGUUGUGAAAAAGAGCUUUAAAGUGUCGUUUGUUGAAGAAAGGGUCCAAAAACAUUGAAUUCGGCCCUAAGUGUUGCAUGAAUCUUCCCUUUGUAUUUAAAAGUUGAUUCUGCAUUCUAAAGUGAAUUCCAAGUGACGAUUUCAUUGCUUUGCUUGCUAUCGCUCUAAGAACGUUUGUUACCCCUUAUCCUUCCUUUGUUAGCCAUUACUCCCAAGCCUCGUUGCGACCCUUGACUUCUAUCUUGAGUGUUAUGUGUUUCAAUUUGUGGAGUUUGAAUUUAGUAUGAGCAUAUGGUGUCACUGGUUCUCGCAUCUAAGUAGUAGCAUUCCAUUCAUGAGAUCAUAUUUAAACAUGCUAUUAGCUCCAGAAACUGCUUUCUUUGUUAUAACAUAUUUGAGUACUAGUCUUUCAUGUUUACAUCAAUCUUCUCACAUAUAACUAGUGUAGGGUGUGUAGUCAGAAAAUGUGUGUGAAAAUAGAGAGUAUCUAGUAAGGAAUUGAGGGAAUUCUCUAAGGCAUGUUACUACCUUCAAAAUGGUGUUUUAAUUGAUUAAAUGUGAACUAGUGAAUGGUGAUUAUUAUUAAGUAUGCUCGAGGGUAAGGAUUGCUUAAAUCUAUGUAAGUGAUGAUCUUGGCAUGUCAUGCUUCAUUAAAAAUCCCUGAGGCAAAUGUUGGAAGGUUUAGGUUGUUCUGUUGUUUCGUUUAUGUUAUUUUGCUCGAGGACUAGCAAAAGCUAAGUGUGGGGAAAUUUGAUAGGAGCAUAUUUAUGCAGCUUAGUUAGCUUGUUCUUGUGCAUUUAUGUUGUUAUAUCUUAGUCAAUUAUGUAUUUUUAAGCUAUUUUCAUGUGUUUGUAGGUCCUAAUAACAAAGUUGGCAAGAAAGUGCAUUUUGGUGCAUGUUGGAGCAUUUUUUAGCCAAGAUUGGAUAGUGCAAACAUGGAGACAUGGGGAUGGACGUUUUUGAAGAUUAGAAGGCUGGAAAUCAGCAUGUGUGUGCAAAUGUGUUGAUUUUGGGCUGAAAUGGUGAAGAGCAUGUGUGUGCACAUGCAAAGACAACAUGCAUACACACACAUGGACAACACGACACAUAGGCAAAGAGAAAGACACACCAUGGACAACUUGGCAUGGGCAGAAAAUGGGUGGAUUAGUGGCUGAAAUGAUGAAGAACAUGGGUGAGCAAAUGUAAAGGGAAACACACACACAUGGGCAAAGAGAAAGGCACACCAUGGACAGCUUGGCAAGGGCAGAAAAUAAGUGAAUUAGUGGCUGAUAUGAUGAAGAUGUGUGUGCAAAUGCAAAGGUAAACAUGGACAGCACACACACAUGCAAACCCAUGGCAAAGUGAGGGUCUUUUUGUGCAAAGGUGACAGCACAAACACAAUGUUGCGAAAUUUAAACUAACCAAAUUUAGUCCAACUUAGUUCCAAAUUUUAUGCUCACAAGCGUAAGAAUCGUUUAAUAGUAUAGAAAGCAAGCACUUAAUAUCGUCCCUUAGAAAAUGAUUUAAUUCUUAUCAACUAACUAAAAUCCAAUUGCAACGAAGUGAAACUAGCAAAGAUUGAUGAAAGAUGGUUUUGAGAAUUGAAACUAAUAGUAAAAACAAAUAAAAACAAGAAAGUUUGAUCACAAUGCAAAAAAAAUGACAGCCAAGAAAACUAGUUGUAAUUCAAUCCAGUAAAACACUAGAGCGUCCGACUCACCAUAACCAAUCCUACUUAUUUCCUGCAACGAAUUAUUAACAAAUACUCAAUCUCAUUGAUAGUCAAAUUUCCCUAACACAUGUAAUAUCUAUGGCAUCUAGACUAUUACGUAUAUCCCAAUUUGCAACCAUCCAUGGCAUCUGGAAUAAUUUAACAUCAUGAAACUCAUUACGAUCAGUGGAAAUUUAUAUACAGACUACACAGAUCCUAGAGUAUGGCAUCUACUACUAGGUAAUUCAUGGUAUCUAUUUGCAAGAAGCUAUCACUCAAGUUGAAAACAUGGCAUCUGCACAACUUGCAUCAAAUUUACCAAGUAAAAGUCAAGAUGAUAGCUAAUCACCAAGAUUAAAACCAAGCAUAUCAACACAGCAAACGAUACUCAAUGAAAUUGAAAACUUGAAAUAAUUCACUUCAGAAAUUAAGCAUUCAUAGUCAUGGCUACAUCGUAGCCCUAACUAAGGAAAAUUAGUUCCGAAACAUAACUGGAAAUAUCAUUGAAUUCAUAAUAAAAUUAAAAGAAAAAUUAAGUUUAGAAAAGCCUGAAAUCCCCGUGCUUUGCCACUGCUUACUUCUCUUUGUCUCUGCCGCUGCCUUUUUUUUUUUUUUUUCAUCCUGUCUCCUUCUUCCCCUUUUUCAAUCAUGACCAGGCUACUUCAUUUCACUCUCCAAUUAGCCGUUUCUUUUUCGUAACCGUCGAGACCUUAACCCCCAUUUAUUGAUAAAAAAUAGCAGAUAAAAAGCGGAAAAGAAUUGAAUUCUUCACCAGCCACUUCGUACACUCAAGCACCCAUGUUGCCUCUUUUCACUCUCCGCUUGAUUAGUAACUGAUAUUUCAUCUUCCAAUUCCACUUCCAACAAAUCUUGAAGUAACCAAACUGCCCACUGCAAGUGAACGGAACAGGCAGCCAAAAUAUGAAAACUGAAUAUGCUCAUACUAUUCGUGCACCGAUAACCCACAAACAAGAGAUUGAAACAGAAAUUCGGUGUGUCGGUUGUGAGUCAAGGAAAAUGAGAUGGAACAAUACAAAUUCUUCUUUCUUUUGUCAGUUUUAAAAAUGCAAGAAAAACCAGCCUGGUAGUCACGUGCACAAAUUUAUUGCACUAAUAGCUUGACAAGUCAACCUCCUUUGAUUGCAAAAGGAUAGAAAUGCUGCUCCUUGUUGGACAAAAGGGCAAACCUGGAUAAAGUUAAAGUGAAAACAAAUUUAGCUUUUUAAUACUAGAGCUUAACAAGAUGACAAAUAAUUCCCAAGAUUAAAAUGGAGCCUAACAAGUCUUUUGUGUGAGCCAAUUAUACAACGGUUAUUUUUUAAAACAAAAUAUGAAACAAAGCAAGUUAGUUAUAUUGCAAUUCAGUCAUCUCUUUUCCCUAGCCAUCAUGGUACAGAGACAAGUAAAUUCUUUCAUUUAAAUCCAACACAUCAUAGGAAAAAUGUAAUUUUUCAGGCAAAAUAAGUAGUAUAAUUUGUGCUCAUCAAAUACCCCCAAACUUACAUUUUGCUACUCCCUGAGCAAAAUAAUGAAAAACAUGAAAAGUAAUAGCAUGGAAAAUGUUAGUUUCCCCCUAUGAUCUCAAAGAAUCUCAAUCAAAAGUUCAUAAUAAUCAAGAAUUUUCGUAAUCACAAAGCAAGUGAAUCAACCAUAUUCCAAAUGUUAGCGGAAACCUUUCAAUCAUCCUUGAGGUGUAGUGUGUGUAAUAGCCAUGCCAAUGCAAUUCCAAGCUUUUUAAAAUCAUCAUAUGCAAACUUGUAACAUCCUCACUGGGCAUACACUCAUUCACACAUAUUUCUGGGUAAUGUGUUUCACUCAAGUGAUCUCAAUCAAACAUGCCGCCAUAUGCUUGCUUGUCAACCUACCUCGCUAUUAAUAUCAUGUAAUUACUUGAAUCUAUAGGACUUUAGUUGGGUUGUAAUGGGGAUAAGGGUGAUAGGCUAAUGAAAGAAAGAGUAUGGAAACCAAAAAUUUUGAGAAAGUACACAAUAGUAGUUUUCCAACACCAAUAUCACACCCACUCAAAAUUUAUAUUUUGCAUCUAAACACUAGGCCUCUAAAACAUACAACUGCAUUCUCAAGUGAUGUGAUAAAAGUUAAGCACACAGAUUUAAACCCUCUUUUUAUCAAUUGUAGUAAGGAAUGUAAGUAGGGAUCGUUCUAGGCCGGGGAUUAGGAGGGAUUGCUAAAUCACUUAAAAACUGACUCAAAAACGUAAAAACAAAGUUUAAAACACUAAACUAGACUCAAAGAAUGCAAAACUAAACUAUAAAACACCAAAACAAACCAAAAGACUCAAAACAACACCUAAACACUCAAAACUGCCUUAAAAACACAAUCUGGGCAGUUUUGAAUACUUAACACAAAUUUGGGGGGAUUAGGUUUUGGACGAAAAUAAAGUAAAACAAACAAAUUAAAGACUAAAACAGAUUUUGGACGAAAAUUGGGAAAUUGGAUGGGUGAUGGUCUAGCUAGAAGGUCCUUCUCCACACAUGACACACUUGCAUACAAAUCAAUCUCCAAUUGCUUUUCAAUAAACCAUGAACCUCAACACCCCAAGUUAAUUAGGUAUGCUUAAAUUAACCCUCAGAUUUUCCUUAAAUCAUUGAAUUGAAUGGAAAUAGUGCAUCGCAAUCAAAUUAUUCCUUAAAAGUUCCCUACAUGAAAGCACAUAAUAGAGACACAAUCAAAGAUCAUUAAGUGCUAUGAAAAUCAUAAGUGUUGACAAGGCAUUCGUAACUAUGAAAGCGCAUGAUACUUAUGCCAGGAAUUUACUUAACAUGAUUGUGACUAACAACCUUUACUACUUAUGAAUAUAAGUUCAUAACGAUUAGGUGAAACUCCCUUACAUUCUAGCAUCAAAUUCAUGCAUGCAAACUAAGUUGGCCACCUUAAUAACCAUACAAGAAUAAGUUUUGAAUAAAACAGUUAAGUGAAUUGCAUUCACAAUUUAUCAAAUCGCAAUUGAAAGUAAUCAAUUCAUAUUGUAAGUAUAAUCAUGGUUUCAAAUUCCCCUCUAACUAUAAAGAAAUUAGUUCCUCAUGUUCGCAAUUAGACAAAGAUAACUUGAAUUAAACAUUGAAAACAAAGAUAGAAUACACCUAGAAACACUCCAGAUGGCUCCUUCUUCUCCUUCCUUAGCUGCGGCACAAGAGGAUUAUGGUGGAUGGAUGUAGGUGAUUUUUGGUAGAGGGUGGUGACUAAAUGGUGCAGCAAAGGAUGGUAUUUAUAGGCUGAAAUUCGCAGCCCCUAUGUAGCAAAGGAAAAGGAUUUAAAGGCCUAAUUUGUAUAGGAUAAUAACACACAAUCCUUGAAGGAAAAGGCUAAGGCUUUUAGAAACCAAAGGGGAAAGGAAUAAUCAGGUUUCUAGAAGUUCUAGAAAGGUUUGGGGCGUCACUUUUGUAGGACAAGGGAUAAGGCCUUCUAGAAAGGUUGUUUUGUGGCUGAUUUCUAGAAAAAACAAGGGAUAAGGUGUGGCACCUUUGUAGGAAGGGAUAAGGCUUCUAGAAAUCAGGUUUUAAGUCUCCAAAUAGGAAAAGAAAUCCCUUUUGUAGGUGAAAUCUUUAUGAAUUAGGAUUAGGAAAGCUUGUCUUGGUCAAUCCUUCUUCUUCUAGGAUUCCUUUUCCUUUUUUGACUUGGAUUAGUUCUUUGUUGCUGGAACUUAAGGCCACUUAGGUUUAACUUUCCUACUUCAAGUAGGAAACCUUGUUUGAGUAGGAAUCUUCAUUCUUCUAGGAAUCCAUCUUCAACUAGGAAUCCUCACAUCUUCAAGUCUUUAUUUCUUCAACUUUGAAACACAUUCCUAGCCUCUUCAAUCCUUCAAAUUCGUCCAUUCUUUGUGCUCCACAUGCAUGAACUCCAUUCUAGCUCAAUUUUGCUCCAAAUUGCAUCUCUUUGCACACCUUGUCCUUAAAACAUGAAAACACAUGAAAAUGGCUUAAAAGACUAACUUAACUAAAAAACACAACAUAAAUGCACAAGAACUAGCUAACUAAGGCGCAUAAAUAUGCUCCUAUCAUCAAGCUUUACUUUUGAUAACAUUGACACUUAAGAAUAGAAGUAAGCUUGUGCAUAGCACAUUUUCAAACAUCUCAGCACUCUUUAUUUUAUUUUAUUUUAUUUUAUUUAAAUUGAAAUUCAUACUACCACAACUAAUGACAGUAUCCUGCAUAUUUAUAACCCUUUCCCUUCUUUUUUAAAUCAUGCCCAAAUCUGCAAAGCUACAUCACCCCUCAAAUUCACAUUUCAUGUAAUACACAUGCACCAUCCACUUUUUCUAUAUAAACAAAACCCCAAGAGCACAACCUAUGUAAUACUUUCUCAAAACAAUAAGGGAUCGAUUUUUGUGUAUGGGCUCAACUCCAAUAUCGGAGCAUGAUAGGAGCAUAUUUAUGCGCCUUAGUUUAGCUUGUUCUUGUACAUUUAUAGUGUUUUUGCUUAGUAAAGUAGUCUUUUAAGCUAGUUUUAUGUGUUUUCAGGUUCUAAGGGCAAAAUAUGAAAAAGGAUGCAUUUUGGAGCCUUUUGGAGCAAUUUAGAGCUUGGAAUGGACAUCAUAUGCUUGGAGCCAAGAGGAUGGACGAAAUUGAAGAUUUGAAGAUGAUGUUUCCUACUUGAAGAAGGUUUCCUAGUCGAAGUAGGAAAGCGCCUAAGUUGAAUUAGGAUUCCUAGUUGAAUUAGGAUUCCUAGUUGAAAUAGGUUUCCUAGUGAAAUUGGGAUUCCUAGAAGAUGAAGAUUCCUACUCAAACAAGGUUUCCUACUUGAAGUAGGAAAGUUAAAUCCAAAUGGCAUCAAGUUUCAAGAAACAAAGAAGUUUUCCAAGUCGAAGAAGGAAAAGGAAUCCAAGAUGAAGAAGGAGAAGAAUUCCAAGUCAAGGGAGGAUUGAGACAUGUUUUCCUAAUGCUAGAAGGACUCCUAAGUGUUGUAGAACACAAAUGAGAAGUUUCUAGAGUGUUCCCCUCCUUGCCGUGAGUUUCUACAUUUCCUAUCAGUUUUGGGGCUUUCUAGAAGCCCUAUCCCUAAUCCCUACAUUGGUGCCGCACCCUAGCUUCUAGAUGCCCUAGUUCCUUGCCUUGCAAGGCAUUCUAAAAGGCCUAUCCAUAUCCUACAAACCUGCCGCACCUAGGACCCCUUUUCCCUUGCAAAAUCUGAUUGUUUAGACCUAUUUCCUUGUGGAUUUGGGUUAUCCAAGUCCAUAUCUGAUUACCCUAGGGUUUUAAGUGCCUAUAUAUACUCCUAUUAACCCCUAAAUCAGAUCACCACUCACCACAAUUCACAAUUCACGCCAGAAAUCAUUCCUUGCUCUUGCCGCACCCUUCCACCACCAUAUGCCAUAAUUUCUGCCCAAAAACAACCCUAGCCGCACCACCCAUCAACCCUAAACACCAUCACACAUCCUCCAUCCAUUCUACACCAUCCAUAACCCCAAAGAACCUGUCCAAAGUCCUUGCCGCACCAAGGAGGGGGAGAAGGAAGCUCGGAAGAUUCAUGCAAUUCAAGUUCGCAUCGCUGGAAUUUCUAGGUGUUUCUUUUCCUUUGAUUUCAAUGUUUAAAUUCAAUUCUCUUUGUGUUGUGCGUAUGAGGAACUAAACCCCCCCUUGGCUAGGGGGGGGAUUCGAAAUACAUGUUUAUGCUUGCGAUAUGAUUUGAGUACUUCUAAUUGUGUUUCAUAAGUUGUGAAUUCAAUUUACUUAUCUAUGUCAAUUACAUUGAUUUGUGUGUGUUGGUUGAGAGUGCACGCUUAAUUAUCAUGCAUAAAUUGAAUGCUAGGAUAUAAGGAAAUUUCACCUAAUCGUUAUGGACUUAUAUUCGCAAGUAGUAAAGGUUGAUGAUCUCAAUCGCGUUAAGUAAAUUAUUGGCAUAAGUUUCAUGCAAUCAUAGUAACAAGUGCUUCGUCAAUGCUUAUGGUUUUCAUAGAACUUAAUGAUUCUUGCUUGUAUCUCUAUUAUGCAAUCAUGUAGGGGAUUUGUGGGGAAUGUUUGGGUUGUCGUAUGCAAUCAUCCAAUUCAAUAAUGUUAGGAAAAUCUGAGGGUUAAUUUAAGCGGACCUAAUUAACUUGGGGCAUUGAGAAUUCAUGAUUUAUUGAAAAGCAAUUGGAAAUCGUUUUGUAUGCAAGUAUAACAUGUGUGGAGAUGAACCCCUUAGCUAGCCU